This is a long non-coding RNA of Herpailurus yagouaroundi (jaguarundi), 456 nucleotides long. RefSeq lists it as uncharacterized. Lineage: Eukaryota; Metazoa; Chordata; Mammalia; Carnivora; Felidae. The transcript is spliced from 2 exons. The record is from RefSeq and is a predicted model, not a curated record.
UCCUGUUCAUGCUCUGCCUCUCAAAAAUACAUAAACGUUAAAACAUUUCUUUUUACAGACGACUUCUAAUCCGACGGAGGUGUCACACAUUAUGGGCACAACUACGAAGACGUGGUUUUCUGAGAGGCAUGCUCAAAGACUGGACGGUUAACGUGUCUUGACCUGUGCCAGGCGCGUGAUUUAAUCUCACUUAGUCCUGGCCAGAACCUUGGCAGGUUUGAGCCUAGGAUUGUUUGAAGUGUGGAAGAGCCUGGGCAUCUGACCCCCCAUGACGUGACUUCUUGAAGGCAAACGUGGACCCAGCACUCGCAAGCACAGACCCAGCUGUGGACCCAGGCAGCGCCUUGAAGACGUGACAAAUGCAUCAAAGACACAGAGACACAUUCCCGGCAGACGUCAGACACAGGGAACGCCACACACACACACACACACUCACACACACACACUCGCGCACAC